Molecule: transfer RNA, 81 nt
Filed under: Lentinula boryana
Lineage: Eukaryota; Fungi; Basidiomycota; Agaricomycetes; Agaricales; Omphalotaceae
Also listed under: 1 other name
Description: tRNA-Val
Source: RNAcentral
GGUUCGAUGGCGUAGUUGGUUAUCGCAUCUGUCUAACAUUGGCUACACAGAAGGUCCUCAGUUCGAGCCUGGGUCGAAUCA